Molecule: long non-coding RNA, 4211 nt
Organism: Musa acuminata AAA Group (dessert banana)
Lineage: Eukaryota; Viridiplantae; Streptophyta; Magnoliopsida; Zingiberales; Musaceae
Exons: 7
Source: RefSeq, a predicted model, not a curated record
GCUUGGCUUCUCCUUCCGCCUGCAUCAUCGCUUCUCUCUCCGUACUCUGCUGCUGCUGCUGCAUCCUCAUCAUCUUCUUUUUCUUGUCAUCGACCUCUUUUCCCGUCGAUAGGAAAUCUGCGAAAAUCGAGUCACAGGAGGAAGUUCUUCCUUCCGGCAGCAGCAGCUGUGCUGGAUGAGUCCCCUGUGUUCGACCCGUCGCCCGGUUCCAAGAGUCUCACGAUGUCAUCGCUCCCUUGAAGCUGAGAUUGCUCAUGAAGAUCAUCAUGAGCUAUGGUAAAUUUCCAUACUGGUUUUCCAACGGAUUGAUUUCCUUAGCAUAUAUUUUGAUAAUAUAGUGGAGCGUUAGUUUGGUACACCAUGGCCACUUCCACAACCAGAGGCCACUGAUAUAUUAGCUCAUAAAUUUGAACUUAUUGGAACUUCUAAAAUAAAAAUAACAUUCAUAAAAGCACUCGCAUCACUCAAGGAGACAGGGGAGCUGUGGGUGUUUGUCAUCUCAUGAAGCCAGCCAGCUAAUUUCACCUGAAAGUCAAUGUAAAUUGUUGUUAUACAACAUACACUAUGCUGUUGUGAUAUUGAGGUAUGCAAUAGCAAAAAACAUUUGAGGUAUACAGUAGCUGUCCAAGCUUACUUUGAGGUGCAAAUUAAAACCUUGUUGCUGCUUCCUUAGUCCUAGAGGAAAAAAUGAACUUGCUUUGUAUCUGCAAGCACACUUUCCAGUCAGAGUGGUUGUGCAACGCCAUCCAAUUGUUGAUAUAAAAAAAUGCAAACCUCCAAGAUCUUUUUCUUAUCACAGAAGACUCAGAACAGAGAUAAUUGAAGCCUUGGAAAAGAUUAAGAAGAGUUUGACUUUCCAAAAACUAGGUUGGAAAUUGAAGCUCGUAUAUCAUUUGAAGGUGGGGCUCAAUCUCUUAAGAAAGAUCUUGACUUUCUCUAUAGAUUGACUACUACUCUUAUAUACUAGAUUGGUACAGAAAAGUACGAGCACCAAAGCCCAUGGAGAAUGAACCAAACAACAAGAGGCUACUACUCUUACCUUCUUUUAUUAAUUUUUCUCUUAUUUAGGUGAGAACAUGUAAAUGGCAAUAUUUUAGGGGACAAUCUCAAAAGAUGACACUGUAAUUCUUGAUGGAGCUGGUGACAAAAAGGCUAUUGAAGAGAGAUGUGAGCAGAUAUGAUCUGCAAUUGAAGUAAGCACAUCCGACUACAACAAAGAGAAGCUGCAAGAGGUGUUGUCAAAACUUUCUGGUGGUGUUGCUGUGCUCGAGGUAUGUACAUUUCUUCAUGCUUAGAUCAUAGUUUAGAUUCCUUACAUUAUGCUGUUUAUCAUGUACUUUGCUUAACACAAGCAGAUGAAACGAAAGUAAUCAGAACAUAUUGGGUCAUUUACACUAUCACCUCAUUCUCAGUGUCUUAAUAUAGUCAAGUCAAUUAUUGGUUUUAACAUAUUUAUUCUAUGAACUAUCAUAUUUUCCUAUGGUGAUAUGUAUUUUUUGUGUUAGCGGCGUGCUGUGUGUACAACUAUCACUAGUAGUUCAUUGGAGGAGCAUUUUUAUCUUUUUUUCUAUAAAAUGCACCAAAGUGUAUAAUUUAAUACAUGCAUCAUGGCUUUUUUCUUAUACAGCAUCCUUGCUUUUUUGGUUGGAUAAAAGUACUCUUAAUUACACUUGCCUUUUCCUCAUUUUCCUUAUGUUUUGAAACCCAUUCAAUUUAACCAACCAAUUCAAUUGAGUCAGUUUAAUUAACCCAAAACUUAGAUCUCCAAUUUAUAUAAAAAUAAAUAUUAAUGAUAUAUAAUGAUUUAUAUUAACAAGAAAAUAAUUAUAUAAAAUUGAUCUUAGAGUUCAAAUAAUAUAUUAUGAAAAUGAGAAAAUUAUGAAAAUAAUUUUCAUAAUUCGGGUUGGGUGGAGAAGAAGUACGUCGACCCCCUGAAGCACUGACUAUAGUAGGCUAGCAGGAGGGUCAUCAUCGAGGGAAUGUGGAGUCAUCUAAACUCCCCAAUAAAUGCCAUAAGAAACUAAGAAAGCGCCACAAAUUUGGCUUCAUUUGGGCAUGUGAGAACUUUCAGAAAUUGAAAGUCUCAAUAAAAAAUGGGUGGAGGGGAGAGCGAAACCCCACGUCCAGUGCAUCCUGCAUAGGAUUAGUUACCCGACUAAGCAGACACUAGCUCGUGCUCGGUUGGUAUGUGAUAGACCUCCUGGAGUGCCUCCAGGUCGGAGGUCAACAUUAUGGAGUCCGAGUCAAAGGACUCCACCAUAGGUGGCGGAGCUGCUUUGCAGGGUGGAUUCACCUCCAAAUGGGCAACCUCCACUAGUGCGAUCAACUUGGCUCCCUCAGAAGAUGAAAUUCCCGUCGUCGACACCGAGGGUGGUGAUGGAAUCAAUGACCUAUCUGAGUUCGAGGUGCUUGAGGAGAAGGUUGAGGAUGACAACAUCGUGGACCUUUAGUCGUUGAAUGGUCGAGGCCGAAGUUAUUGUCCAAGGAUGUAUGAGUUGCAGGCAGGUGUAAGGAGCAAGUUUUGCAAUAAACUACUAUUUAUUAAGGUCAAGAGCGGCUAUUACACUACUUAGUCGCUUGUUUGACUUCUGAACACCUUGAAGAAAGGGGGACAUGCGGCAGAAUUCAAGACACCUCUAGACAAGUGGCAUGAUCUGAGCGGCUCAAGGGUCAAUCGGAUCAUCAGAGGCCAUUGCUAAUUGUUGCAGAAGACAUAGAAAGUGAUGCACUGAUGACUCUAAUUCUUAAUAAGCUUUGUUCCGGGAUUAGGGUCAUUUUUUGUUUAGUUUUAUGUAUAUAUUUAUUGUUUAUUUUGGAUUUAUGAAUUUUGGUUAUUCUUAAACACUCUAAGGAAUAGUGAUCACACUGGUUUGUGUUGUGAAGGCCCCUGGUUUUGGGGUGAACAGGAAGGCUAGUUUGCAAGAUCUUGCUACUCUCACUGGUGGAUCUGUGAGGAUCUUUUCUUAUUCAAUAUUGUUGUGUUUUGAUGGUUUGUAAAUGGUAUUGCCAGAAUAAUUGUUUCAUUGUUUACUUAGGUUAUAACAGGAGACCUUGGUAUGAACAUUGGGAAAGUUGAGUUCAACAAGCUUGGCACAUGCAAAAAGGUCAGAUUGUGUUCUUAUACCCUCUAUAGCCCUUUGUUACUAGUGUCUGUCAAUCCUUGCUCUCAUUUCUUUAUACCUGUUUCCAGAUCUAGAAGAAGGAUUCGAGCUCAUAAUUAAUUGAGGUGUCUAAGGGGUCUCAUUUUCUUGUAGUUUCCAAUCUGUGUUGGCUGCUUUACAAUUUUAUCUCGAUAUUCUGGUUCUGUUAUUUAGUUAAAAACCUCCAUUUACAUAAUUUGCAUUAAUUUUUUUACUGCAAUCAGUAUCAAUUGAUUUGAUUUAAGAUUAUCAUAUUAGAGAAACUAUUAUGCUCUUUACUUAGUUUUGCACCAACAUUGAUCUUGUAAGUGAUAAUAUUUUAGGUGUCAAUCUUAAAAGAUGCCACUGUAAUUCUUGAUGGAGCCUGUGACAAAAAGGCUACUGAAGAGAGAUGUGAGCAGAUUGGAAUUAGACUUGGCUGGAGUAGAAACUAUGUCGUGCUUCGAUGCUUCGGGGUGUGGAAGAUGUUGCUGAUGCAGUGAAAGUGACCAUUGGCCUGAAGUGACAUCGCGCCGGUUCCCUAUUCCUUGCUGUUCGAGGCUAAGCUGGACUCCAGAGCAAAACCAUCCAACAGUUGCUUAUCUUCCGAGCUUCUGGAUGAUCGCUUCGUCCUUCACUGCCAUCACUGGACUGCCUACCUCUGCUACCUCUCAUCCAUGAAUACCAUGAACCUGAUGCUUCUGUUUCUUCGGCUAUGCUUUCCUGGAAAUGGGUAGUACUGGAGAGUGGGGUCGAAAAUUCAUCAGAUCAUUGCAGCUCUUCAAAUUUUGUGAAGGUGACGAGGACCGGAAUAGUAGGAGCGAUGGGAAUGGCCAACUGAAAUUGAUGGCAGAGAAAUCUAUAGUUUAAUGCUUGAGAAAGUUGAAGCAGCCUAAGCCCAGUGUUGAAUCAUGAGAAUUUGCUAUUUUAAUCCUGAGUUAUAUCUUAGAUGCAGCAAUUGGAACAUAGAAACCAAAUGUUAUAAAUCAAUAGAAAGUACUUCUUUCCAUUAUGUGAUCAUGAGAGAAUUGUAUAUACUGUAACACUUUUUUUAGUUUUAUAUCGGACAGAAUUAAGAUUAACUUACAAGGA